Molecule: transfer RNA, 92 nt
Filed under: Desulfuribacillus alkaliarsenatis
Lineage: Bacteria; Bacillati; Bacillota; Desulfuribacillia; Desulfuribacillales; Desulfuribacillaceae
Description: low GC Gram-positive bacterium strain AHT28 Selenocysteine transfer RNA
Rfam family: Selenocysteine transfer RNA
Source: Rfam by way of RNAcentral
GGGGGCGGAUAGGGUACUGGUGUCCCUCCCGGUCUUCAAAACCGUGCGUGAGGCUUUAGGGUCUCAGGUGGGUUCGAUUCCCACACGCUCCC